Molecule: long non-coding RNA, 1003 nt
Filed under: Medicago truncatula (barrel medic)
Lineage: Eukaryota; Viridiplantae; Streptophyta; Magnoliopsida; Fabales; Fabaceae
Description: long non-coding RNA (MTRU_LNC005169)
Source: RNAcentral
UUGAAACAGAGCUAUACAAUGAAAUAAGUUAAACACAUACACACAGACACACACACUCGUGUAUAUAUAUAUUUCCUUUGUUACUCUCUGUUUCCACUACUUUUGUUCAUUUGUUUAUUCAUAUCUGAUCCUCGACCUAGUUUGGUUCGCAAGCCCCAUAUGAGUUGUUCUCAAUCAUUGGAAGACUUUGUGGGCCACCAUCAAUCUGUUCUUCUUGAAGACCUUAUCUCUGAUCAAUUAUGGAUCUUGUUGAAUCUGGGUUUAUAUGUUCGCUUAAGUUAGCUUGUGUUAGCCCGUCGAACACAGUUUCUAUUUUUGUGUUGCUCGAAAGGGCGAGGCUUCAUGAUCUGGAGUGUUUUAGGUUGAUUUGUGGCAACCUGUUGUUGUCGAAGUUGUCUCAGCGAGUUGUCGAUGUGCGAACUGCUACCGUGUUUACAGGCAAGUUCAUUUGUCAUUAUCUAAUCCCAGAUUUCGGUGCUCGUGAUUUUUUACAUUACAUUCUUUUUGCAAUUUGGUUUCGUGCCCUUACACGGAUGCGCUGAAUUGUACAGUGGUUUGUGAGUGUUUGACUCUGAAUUUGGACUGUAAUCUGGUUUAAUUUUUUCUAUUUACCUUAUGGUUGUAUUUUGUCACGCAUUCAGGUUGCUUGUUUUUUGGUUCAUUGGGUCGUCGGGCCUUAUGUCCUCGCAAUCUUUUGUAUCGUUUAUGUUUAAUUAAUCUAUUUAGGGUGUUGUAAAAUAAUAAUAAUAAUAAUAAUAAUAAUAAUGAUGAUGAUGAUGAUGAUGAUGAUGAUGAUGGUGAUGAUAUGGUAGACAUGUAAUCUUUUUUUGUGUUAAUCUAUUUAGGGUGUUGUAAAAUAAUAAUAAUAAUGAUGAUGAUGAUGAUGAUGAUGAUGAUGAUGAUGAUGAUGAUAAUAAUGAUGAUAAUAAUAAUAUGGUAGACAUGUAAUCUUUUUUGGUGUUAACCCCCAAGUUUCUAGGGAAUGAGACCCUAGUAAUUCAAA